Molecule: ribosomal RNA, 449 nt
Filed under: uncultured bacterium
Lineage: Bacteria
Description: partial 16S ribosomal RNA
Rfam family: Bacterial small subunit ribosomal RNA
Source: RNAcentral
AACGAACGCUGGCGGCAGGCUUAACACAUGCAAGUCGAACGAGAUCUUCGGAUCUAGUGGCAGACGGGUGAGGAACACGUGGGAACAUCCCUUUCAGUUCGGAAUAACGUUGGGAAACUAACGCUAAUACCGGAUACGUCCUUCGGGAGAAAGAUUUAUCGCUGAAAGAUUGGCCCGCGUCUGAUUAGCUAGUUGGUGAGGUAAUGGCUCACCAAGGCUACGAUCAGUAGCUGAUCUGAGAGGAUGAUCAGCCACAUUGGGACUGAGACACGGCCCAAACUCCUACGGGAGGCAGCAGUGGGGAAUAUUGGACAAUGGGCGCAAGCCUGAUCCAGCCAUGCCGCGUGAGUGAUGAAGGCCCUAGGGUUGUAAAGCUCUUUCACCGGUGAAGAUAAUGACGGUAACCGGAGAAGAAGCCCCGGCUAACUUCGUGCCAGCAGCCGCCGUAA